RNAcentral lists this ribosomal RNA (552 nucleotides) under Aureobasidium proteae. Its description in RNAcentral is "eukaryotic LSU rRNA". It matches the Rfam family "Eukaryotic large subunit ribosomal RNA", at positions 88 to 655 of the family's 3401-position model. The record is from RNAcentral. Lineage: Eukaryota; Fungi; Ascomycota; Dothideomycetes; Dothideales; Saccotheciaceae.
GGCGAGUGAAGCGGCAACAGCUCAAAUUUGAAAGCUAGCCUUCGGGUUCGCAUUGUAAUUUGUAGAGGAUGAUUUGGGGAAGCCGCCUGUCUAAGUUCCUUGGAACAGGACGUCAUAGAGGGUGAGAAUCCCGUAUGUGACAGGAAAUGGCACCCUAUGUAAAUCUCCUUCGACGAGUCGAGUUGUUUGGGAAUGCAGCUCUAAAUGGGAGGUAAAUUUCUUCUAAAGCUAAAUAUUGGCGAGAGACCGAUAGCGCACAAGUAGAGUGAUCGAAAGAUGAAAAGCACUUUGGAAAGAGAGUUAAAAAGCACGUGAAAUUGUUGAAAGGGAAGCGCUUGCAAUCAGACUUGUUUAAACUGUUCGGCCGGUCUUCUGACCGGUUUACUCAGUUUGGACAGGCCAGCAUCAGUUUCGGCGGCCGGAUAAAGGCUCUGGGAAUGUGGCCUCCACUUCGGUGGAGGUGUUAUAGCCCAGGGUGUAAUACGGCCAGCCGGGACUGAGGUCCGCGCUUCGGCUAGGAUGCUGGCGUAAUGGUUGUAAGCGACCCGUCUU